Molecule: ribosomal RNA, 497 nt
Filed under: uncultured bacterium
Lineage: Bacteria
Description: partial 16S ribosomal RNA
Rfam family: Bacterial small subunit ribosomal RNA
Source: RNAcentral
GAUGAACGCUGGCGGCGUGCCUAAUACAUGCAAGUCGAGCGAACAGAUGAGGAGCUUGCUCCUCUGACGUUAGCGGCGGACGGGUGAGUAACACGUGGAUAACCUACCUAUAAGACUGGGAUAACUUCGGGAAACCGGAGCUAAUACCGGAUAAUAUAUUGAACCGCAUGGUUCAAUAGUGAAAGACGGUUUUGCUGUCACUUAUAGAUGGAUCCGCGCCGCAUUAGCUAGUUGGUAAGGUAACGGCUUACCAAGGCAACGAUGCGUAGCCGACCUGAGAGGGUGAUCGGCCUCACUGGAACUGAGACACGGUCCAGACUCCUACGGGAGGCAGCAGUAGGGAAUCUUCCGCAAUGGGCGAAAGCCUGACGGAGCAACGCCGCGUGAGUGAUGAAGGUCUUCGGAUCGUAAAACUCUGUUAUUAGGGAAGAACAAAUGUGUAAGUAACUAUGCACGUCUUGACGAUACCUAAUCAGAAAGCCACGGCUAACUACGUG